RNAcentral lists this ribosomal RNA (467 nucleotides) under uncultured bacterium. RNAcentral describes it as "partial 16S ribosomal RNA". It matches the Rfam family "Bacterial small subunit ribosomal RNA", at positions 28 to 506 of the family's 1533-position model. The record is from RNAcentral.
GACGAACGCUGGCGGCGUGCUUAACACAUGCAAGUCGAACGGAAAGGCCCUGCUUUUGUGGGGUGCUCGAGUGGCGAACGGGUGAGUAACACGUGAGUAACCUGCCCUUGACUUUGGGAUAACUUCAGGAAACUGGGGCUAAUACCGGAUAGGAGCUCCUGCUGCAUGGUGGGGGUUGGAAAGUUUCGGCGGUUGGGGAUGGACUCGCGGCUUAUCAGCUUGUUGGUGGGGUAGUGGCUUACCAAGGCUUUGACGGGUAGCCGGCCUGGGAGGGUGACCGGCCACAUGGGGACGGAGAGACGCCCCAGACGACAAUGGGAGGCAGCGGGGGGAAAUAUUGCCCAGGGGGAGGGAGCCGGAUGCGGAAACCCCGGGGGCGGGAAGACGGCCUUUGGGUUGAAAACCGCUUUCGCUUGUGACGAAGCGGGAGUGACGGUAAUGGGUAAAGAAGCAGCGGCUAACUACGU